This 433-nucleotide ribosomal RNA is filed under the name uncultured bacterium. RNAcentral's name for it is "partial 16S ribosomal RNA". It matches the Rfam family "Bacterial small subunit ribosomal RNA", at positions 29 to 507 of the family's 1533-position model. The record is from RNAcentral.
AACGAACGCUGGCGGCAUGCCUAACACAUGCAAGUCGAACGAGACCUUCGGGUCUAGUGGCGCACGGGUGCGUAACGCGUGGGAACCUGCCCUUAGGUUCGGAAUACCUCCCCGACAGGGGUGCUAAUACCGGAUAAUGUCUUCGGACCAAAGAUUUAUUGCCUUUGGAUGGGCCCGCGUUGGAUUCGCUAGUUGGUAGGGUAAAAGACUACCAAGGCGACGAUCCAUAGCUGGUCUGAGAGGAUGAUCAGCCACACUGGGACUGAGACACGGCCCAGACUCCUACGGGAGGCAGGAGUGGGGAAUAUUGGAAAAUGGGCGAAGGCCUGAUCCAGCAAUGCCGCGUGAGUGAUGAAGGCCUUAGGGUUGUAAAGCUCUUUUACCCGGGAUGAUAAUGACAGUACCGGGAGAAUAAGCCCCGGCUAACUCCGUG